AUGGCGGAAGCUUUAACACUCAAAUUUAGUCUAACACUGACGCAAAGGGCGGGGUGUAAUCGCAUAAUCAUCAAUUCAGACAAUCUGGAGGUGAUAGAGACUAUGCAAGACGGAGGACAAUCAGCGGGUGCGGCGGCAUCAAUUUUCGAUGAUUGCUUUCACUAUGCAUGUGAUUUUGUCAUAACUAAAUUCGAACAUUGUUAUGGAGAGGCAAAUAAAGUAGCUCAUGAACUUGUCAGAUUAGCUAGAUUUUCUUUAACUUCAGACUAUUUUGAGGAGCCUCAAAAUGAAAUUGUAGUGAUCCUCACAAACGAUGUAACGAUUAUCUCAAAUGAAUAA
This 339-nucleotide ribosomal RNA is filed under the name Triticum aestivum (bread wheat). RNAcentral describes it as "partial small subunit ribosomal RNA". The record is from RNAcentral. Lineage: Eukaryota; Viridiplantae; Streptophyta; Magnoliopsida; Poales; Poaceae.